CCGCGUGUGUGAAGAAGGCCUUAUGGUUGUAAAGCACUUUAAGCGAGGAGGAGGCUUACCUAGAUAAUACCUAGGAUAAGUGGACGUUACUCGCAGAAUAAGCACCGGCUAACUCUGUGCCAGCAGCCGCGGUAAUACAGAGGGUGCAAGCGUUAAUCGGAAUUACUGGGCGUAAAGCGCGCGUAGGUGGCCAUUUAAGUCAAAUGUGAAAUCCCCGAGCUUAACUUGGGAAUUGCAUUCGAUACUGGGUGGCUAGAGUAUAGGAGAGGAAGGUAGAAUUCCAGGUGUAGCGGUGAAAUGCGUAGAGAUCUGGAGGAAUACCGAUGGCGAAGGCAGCCUUCUGGCCUAAUACUGACACUGAGGUGCGAAAGCAUGGGGAGCAAACAGGAUUAGAU
RNAcentral lists this ribosomal RNA (395 nucleotides) under Lacisediminihabitans profunda. Its description in RNAcentral is "Bacterial small subunit ribosomal RNA". It matches the Rfam family "Bacterial small subunit ribosomal RNA", at positions 397 to 783 of the family's 1533-position model. Lineage: Bacteria; Bacillati; Actinomycetota; Actinomycetes; Micrococcales; Microbacteriaceae. The record is from Rfam by way of RNAcentral.